CGCAUGCUUCUCCAGUAAUCACCAUAUGGACAUGUUCCGAUGUCGGAAUAAUUGUACAUAAUGAUUUCUCCAACCAUUAAUUGAGGCCUAGUAGCAAAAUUCAGAUCUUGAAUUUUCAUGAUUUCCUUUGCUAUAUCAGGUGAAGAUACAACAACGUGUGAUACUUCUCCAAGACGUAAAUGAAAGAUCGGUCCAUAAUUUUGCGAUAGAUCUCUAAAAGUAUGAUGUGGAAGGCGACCAUUCAUUAACUGGUGCAAGUUCCCAAUAAAAGGUAGCCUCCAUGGCCCUGGAGGCAAUUUUUUGUUCAAGGUUUUUGAUUGCUUCCAUAAAAGAAGGAUGAGAGAAAGGAAUAACAAGAGUGAAGCGAAGAUGAAAAGUAAAUGUUGUAUCUCCAUAGAAAUUAUAUUUCUUAUUUUCCCCCUUUGGAGAAGCUCAAAUAUUUAAGUAAAAAUUAGGCAAAUCACAUAGUAUAAGAAAGAAAUUACUUCCUAUCCCUACUUUUUCAUUAAUUACCAAAAUCCCUUUUUUAGUGUCUUUCGGAUACAUAAUAUUGCAGGCGGAUACUUAAAUUAUUAAGUUCUUGUUAUCAGUUUAAUGCGUUAAAUAAGGGAUUAAAACGGAAAUUAUAAUUGACUCCCACAAAUCACGCGUACGUUUCUUCCUUCAACCAAUCAGUCGUUCAUAAACCUCUAAUUGAAUUAUAAUUUUUAAAUUUCAAAUUAUGAAACCUUCUCGUUGUUCUUUGAAAAAACAGUAAAAGUUUGAUUCAAACAAUUUUGGAACGCAAUUUUGUGAAGAUUCGAAAUAUUUUGGAUCAUGGGAAAGUGAUGUUACGAGCGAUACAGAAGUGAUGGGAUAGUAGUUGGGGAAAAUAUUUCGUUCGUGAAUCUUAUUUACAUUGUUUGUCUUAAGAGAAAAACUUGUUCAUGUGGUAGAUUUCAACAUGAUGAGAUACCUUGUGUGCACGCAAUGACCGUUUUGAAGAAGAAGAAUAUUAAAGAUAUACACCCCUACUGCUCUGAUUACUAUAAACAUGAUGCAUUAACAAAUACUUAUGCAAUUCCAAUGGGACCAAUGCCAGACAAAAAUGAUUGGACAACUCCAGAAUGUGUUUUGGAAGAAGUCGUCUUGCCACCAAGAUACAAAAAAAUGCUUGGUAGACCAAGAAAAAAGAGGAAGAAAAAUCCAGACAAAAAGCUAAGUACAAAAACGAAUUGUUGUGGACGUUGUGGACAAGAAGGUCACAAUAUAAGAACAUGUACUUUCUUUCCAAAAGAUUUUUGAUGAUUACUUUUUAAGAAUUUUUAUGCUUCAUGUGUACUAAUUUUCUGUAUAUUUUGAAUCUGCUAAUAAGAUAUUAUCAUUUGGUGUGAUUUUAACUUUAUAUAAAUGUUACAAGCGACAAACUGUUGAAUAUGCAUUUUUUGCAUGUAUGGCGUACUUUUGAUCUCUCCUAAUGUUACUUCUCGAGUCUCUGAACAAUAACUUCUCAAAGCCCCAUAGCCUAUAACAACCACCAUAUGUAAUUAAGUAACAAAUGGAGAGUAUGAAAGGAAUAUGUAAAAAAAAAAAAUCAUUUCAUUGCUGAUUUGAUGGUCAGUACCUAAAAACUUUACAACAACAUAAAUUCAAUAUACCUAAAUAUAUUGAAUUGUUUUAUACCUAGUGUAAAACAUAUUGUAUCAUGUGUUGGGGUAUAUAACAAUUAAGUUAUUUGAUAAUUUAUUUAGUAUCAUAUACGUUAUAGUUCAACUAUAUUUUGUAUCUAAUAAUAAAAAAAUGUUAGUUGUUAUGAUUUAAAUCAAUGUUACAAGAUUUAACUUGUUAAAGGAUACUAAAUAUAUUGAAACUUAAUUGUUUUGUACCAAUUGUAACAUAUACACAAAUUUAUUAUUUGAUAAUAAAAUGUGUAUCAUAUACAUAAUAAUUUUAUGGAGAUUGUGUAUAUGAUAAUAAUAUAGUAUCAUAUGUUGUGAUUUACAUCAAGGCUACCACAUGUUAAUAGAUACUAAAUAAAUUGAAAAUUAGUUAUUGUUUACCAAGUGUAAAAUAUAUAGUAUUAGAUAUUCUGUAUCUGAUGGUUAUAUUGUUUCAGCAGUAUUGGUGUAUAAGAUACAAUUUGUAACAAGAUACUAUAUAAUAAACUAUAUAUAUUGGAACAAUAAUUAAAAUUGAAAUACAAUUUUUGACAAAAACAAUCUUCAAAUUAAUAAUUACUUAGAAUAAUUGUGUUGAAACGGGAAGAAAUAUUACAAAAUACUAAUUAACGUAUCUUCAAUACAAUAAAACAUAACUAUUCUACAUUAAUCAUUCCGCCUUCUGCUGGUGUAGUGUAGCCACUCUUCGGCCUUGUAGGAUCAUCAUUAUCGCUAACAUAUUCCCGCCUUGAACUUGUCGAUACCAUACUUCCAUAACAGUGUUGCAUAUCUAUUGCAAAGAUAGUCACUCCGAAAACUAAUACUUGGAAUGUUGAUUUCGUCGCUCAGGUAUUCAGCUCAAGUUGCAUUUGGGGAUAUUUAGGUAUGGGGCAUAUAUGGUAUCCUUGAAUAACUCAAUACCUUAGUCCUUUAUUGACAAGACUAAAUCUUCAAUAAAAUUGGAGUUGUAGGUAGGACCAAACUUUAGGGAGUUCUUUGGAAUAUGUUUAAUUACAUAAAUCAUAUUCUGCAAUUACAUAAAAAUGAUUUUUAUCAAACAUAAAAAAAAGUACAUGAUACAUUCAUACCUACAACUAGAAAUGCUAUACUAUUAUAGAAAUAUAAUGAUGUUUCGCUUUAAUUGAUACUAAAUAACAAGAAUACAUAAGAGGUACACAAAACCAAUUAUAUUGUAUAUACAGUAGCAUAAUUCAAUGUGAUACAAAUAUAAAUUCUCAUAACUAUUUUUAUUCUUUUAAGUAUCAUAUAGAGAAUUAUCAUUGACUAUGAUGCACAGUACCAAAAUCAACCUAGAUGCCAAAUUGUGAAUUAAGCAAGUAUCUUAGAUACAAUAAUGUUCAUUUCAUUUGAUACUAAAUAACAACAAAACAUAAGAAAACAUAAGAGGUACACAAAUUCAAUUAUUCCUUAUAUACAGUGACAAAAAACAACCUACGAAGUAAAUGUGAUUUGAGUACUUAACUUCGAUACAGUUCUCUUCACUUUUGAUACAAUAACAGUUAAUAAACAAAUUUGCAAAAAAUUAAUGUAUCUGAAAAACAACUGAAUAUUUCAAAGAGGAUACUUAAUUAAAAAAUAAGAAAUUAUUUAUCAUCAGAUUAAAAAAAAAAAAAGGGGGAUGCAUAUAUGAUAAAAAUUGCAUACCAUGGGUAAUGUUGGUCUAUUAUAGUAGAUCUGGAAAGAAGGAACAAAGUAUCUAUAAGAAAGUAAACUGCAACAACAGCAUUCUCUUGAAUUUCUAAACAAGUUGCAACCAGAGAAAUGCACAAUUAUUUGAAAUAAAGGAACAAAGUUCUAAAGUUUAUUUCUACUAUUAAGAGAGAUCAAAAGGAGUAGCAAUUGAACAAAGAUCAUCCUUUCUUCUUGCAGUUGCUCCAUUUGUUACCGUCAUAUCAAAAUUCUCUAGAGGGCCUUCGUAAGGACUCUUCCAAUCGAAGUGAUAAAGCAAUUGAGCUAAAGAAUGUUCUACGUUCAUUAAGCAGAAUAACCACCCUGGACACAUUCUUCUUCCCGCACCAAAGGGAAUGAAUUCAAAAUGAUUUCCUCGAAAAUCAAUAGAACUAUUAUCAAAUCUCUCAGGAAUAAAGCUUUCUGAAUUAUGCCAAUAUUUAGGAUCUCUUCCGAUUGCCCAUGCAUUCACUAGGACUCUGGUUUUGAUAGGUAUUGUGUAUUCGCCAAUCCUUGUUUCUUCUCUACAUUCCCUUGGGAGUAACAAAGGAAGAGGUGGAUGCAACCUUAAUGUUUCUUUAAUCACUAAUUUUAGAUAUUUCAAUUCUUCUAAAUCAAUAUCCUCAAAUACUUUCUUCCCCUUAAGGACUUCUCUAACUUCAAGUUGUGCUUUAGCCAUGAUACUUGGAUUUCUUAUCAUUUCUGCAAAUGCCCAAAUAAUUGUUGUAGAUGAUGUUUCAGCUCCUGCUAAGAACAUGUCCUGUAUAUAACUAAAAAUAUUCAGAUAUACUUCAUUUUUAACAUUCCAAUAUUAUGAAUGAUUACUAAACUCAAAAUUUUAAUACUAAUAAAUAUUUUUAAAUAUAAAGAAGAAGAAGAAGAAGAGAGAAUAAGAAUGGGAUGUUUUAUUUGACACAACUUACAAAAAUAACUGCUUUGAUGUUAUUAUUUGUGAUGGGAGUUCCCAAUUCGCCACUCUCCAUGACUCGCAGUAGAACAUCGAUUAAAUCUUCACCUUCAGAUUCACUAUUACCCUUCUUACCAUUUGCUCGAUUUCUACAAUGUUCAUUAAUGAUAUUUUCCAAUAUUGCAUCCAUUUCGUUGUGAACCUUCAAUAUUUUCGACUUCAAUCCACAAAUUCCAUGAAGCCAUUUUCGGGAAGGAAAUACAUCAGUCAAGUCAAAUCCACCAGCUAAUAAAGUGAUAUCCUUCAACAACAUUAUCAACUUAUCUUGACCAUGAAUUAUUUUUCCAAAAGCAGAUCUACAAGUUACAGGACCUGUAAACCAAAAUAUCUUAUCUGUCAAGUUGAUUAAUGAAUCAGGCAUGGAAUUAAUCGAUGAAAUAAGACUUGACAUCUCUGCUUGUCGAAUUGAAUCAAAUGAUCUGACCAUCUUUGUGCUAAGAAGUUCCAGGGUGCACACUUUGCGCAUGUUUCUCCAGUAAUCACCAUAUGGACAUGUUCCAAUAUCCGAGUGAUUAUACAUAAUAAUUUCACCGAACAAUAAUUGAGGCCUAGUAGCAAAAUGAAGGUCUUGAAUUUUCAUGAUUUCUUUUGCUGUAUCAGGUGAAGAUACAACAACGUGUGAUACUUCUCCAAGACGUAAAUGAAAAAUGGGCCCAUAUUUUCGCGAUAAAUCUCUGAAAGUAUGAUGUGGAAGGCGGCCAUUCAUUAACUGGUGCAAGUUUCCAAUAAAAGGUAACUUCCAUGGCCCUGGAGGCAAUUUUUUGUUGAAGAUUUUUGAUUGCUUCCUUAAAAGAAGGAUGAAAGAAAGGAAUAACACUAGUGAAGUGAUGAUGAAUAGCAACUCCAUAAGCUGAAUAAUUAAGCAAAACAGGAUGGAUGAGAAAUUAGACACUCAAUAUAUAGAAUACAUUGAUUUAUGCCGUACAAAUUGUCAGCAUCAUUGGCUGCGCUAGCAAAAUUCACUUUUAUUUAGAACCUUUUGUUCUCCCAUUGGUUUAUGGACCAUUUCAAACAAGUGACCCAUCCCUAUACCAUAAGGACCAUUUCAAUCAAGUUAACUACGUUUAAGGACCAAAAUAAAGCAUUACCUAUACAUUACAGAUCGUUUUAAUAUCUUUCUCAAUGAACAUAUAUCUACACAUUCAAUAGGGACCGCUAUGAUUGAUUAUUGGUGUAAAAGGGACCACAAAAUUGACGUUUAUUUAACGCAUCUCAUUUUCUGAUUGAUUAAUUACACAAGUUGAAUCAAAUUUAGACAAGUUAAAAAUUAAAAUAAGCAUUUACUAGGAUUUUUUUUAAUUUUCAUAACUAAUUAAAUAAGCCACUCUUUAUUUAUCUAUUUAUCUAUCUAUCUUUUAUACUUUCUUUUCUUAUUUUACCAAUCGUAGGAAAAAAAUACAAUUUGUAGUAAGAUCUACAAAAAUAUAUAUGCUUGUGCCUAACUCUUUACUUUGUGUGUAAUCUCCUACUCUGUCCACUUUUAAUUGUCAUAUUGCUUUUUUCGAAAUUUAAUUUAAUUAAUUUUCAAAAUUAAAUUAUAUUACAUUAAUUCAAUAUUUUAAAUAAAAAAAAUUAGAUAUUCAAAAACUAUACAAAAAGUACUAAAAAUUUUAAUUUUUUGCAUAUCAAUAUGAUGAAAAAAUACAUCGUAAAAUGUUAGGCAAAAUUAUUAUCGUUUGACUCCAAAAAGAAAACUAUAACAAUGUGAACGGAGAUACUAUCAAUUUUAUGCCAUUUAUAUAUACUUCAGCAGAAUCACUAUACAGUCAGAUAAUCAAUCAUAUCGGUCCCUAUUGAAUGUGCAGAUAUAUAGAGUGCAAUAGACCACAAAAUUAUUUAGCACGUUGAUAUUUUGUUUGGUCAAUUACACAAGUUGAAUCAAAUUUAAAUAAGUUAAAAAUAAAAAUAAGCAACGUCAAUUAUUUAUUUACUAGGAUUUUAAUUUUAUAUUCAUAACUAAAUAAAAUAAUCUUUAUAUAUAUAUAUAUANNNNNNNNNNNNNNNNNNNNNNNNNNNNNNNNNNNNNNNNNNNNNNNNNNNNNNNNNNNNNNNNNNNNNNNNNNNNNNNNNNNNNNNNNNNNNNNNNNNNNNNNNNNNNNNNNNNNNNNNNNNAUAUAUAUAUGAGAUUUGAUUUAUGAUUCAUGUUAUUUUUGAUGAUAAUGGAUCUUUAUUUGUAAAUAUACAUUAAAAAGAAAUCAUACAUAUCUCAUUUUUUAUGAACUAAAUGUAGGUGAGUUAAAACAAGUCGUCAAUAAUUGGGAUAUUACUAUUCAUGUUUCUUCUUUACAAAUUUCAUAUGGCCUUAGAGCCUAACUAUUUCGAAUUUACAUCGCAUAGUGAUUCAUUUUAAGAAAACACUUUGUAUUAAGAAUUUUUUUAUACUUAAAGCUUGAUCAAUUAAAAAACAAUAUCCUCAUCCACUGUAGCCGCUACACUGUAUUCUUCGGUGAUAAUAGCAAUAUAGUUUAAUUUGUUGACUUUUCCUAUAAUAUCACCAAUCAUAUAAAUUAUUAACAAUAAUCUUUAAACAUAUUGACUUUUCCUAUUUUCUUUGUAUUUUCUCUUAUUAUAUGAGAGAUAGUUAGUGCUGAGAAUUUAUUUCUUUUGUUCUACUUUAAUUUAAUUUGUGUAUAUUUUUCUCUAAUAAGAGACAGUUAGUGCUGAAGCAGACACGUCUUCGUCGACGUGCCUGCUUCAGCGUCCUUCUGGAAAAAAAAUUAAAAAAAUGUUUCUUUUGUUCUACUUUAAUUUAAUACGGUUUAAAAAUUUAUUUCUUUUGUUUUGCUUUAAUUUAAUAUGUGUAUAUUUUUUCCCAAAAAAAAUAAUUUAUUUCUUUUGUUCUACUUUCCAAAAAAAAAUUAAAAAUUUAUUUCUUUUUUUCUACUUUAAUUUAGUUAGUGUAUACUUUUUUCGAAAUUAUGAAAUCCGUUUUAGCUAUGACUUUUAGUUUUAAAUUCAAGAAUUCACGCUGAAGCAGACACUUAUAAUAUUUAAAAAAAAUUAGUAUUUCUUUUGUUCUACUUUAAUUUAAUUAGUGUAUAAUUUUUUCGAACUUAUGAAAUCCGUUUUAGCUAUGACUUUUAGUUUUAAAUUCAUAUUCUAUAGUUAUUGCUUUAUUAUUUUGAAUAUUGGUAAUAUUUGUUUAUAUCUUGUAACUACUUUAAGUAAAAAAUUAACGGUCAAUGACGAAAAAUACUUUAAUUAUAAACAUCUUAAUGGACCUCUUCACAAAAAAAUUGUGCAAACAAAAAGUAAUUAACCACUUAUAUAUCUAAAAGACAAAUUAAAUUUAUUCAACUUUCUAAAUUCUACAUAUAUACAUAAAUUAAAAUAAAAAGAUACGAUAAUAUUGGGCCCGUGCUAGCACGGGCACCUAUAUCUAGUUGUUAAAUAAAUAGGAGACUAAACGAAUAUGAUUACUUCUUGAUGUUUUAAGCGUGCACGCAAACGCUGGUAAGUUCUAGUGGAAUAAUAUGGAAAUAUAAUUGUAAUCAUUUUAAAUUUAUCAAAUAAUUCAUAUUAUAUUAAAUUCAAGAUAUAUUAUCUCAAAUAAAUAUUGCAGAUUUAUCUAAGAAUAACUUACAAAAAUGACUAUAGUUUUAAGGUUAUUAAAUUAAAAUAGCUAUAAGUAUAUAUUUAAUGACUAUAGUUUAUGUCAUAAUCUAGGUGUAUCUAAAGUAUCGGUAGAUUUUUUAAAAAUAUAUUGAUACAUUUUUAAUUGUAAUGCACUAAAUAAGGUAAUUUUCGUUAUUGUAACUGAUUGUCCUUUAAUUAGCUCUCAAACUCUCAACUUCUAAUUAUUAAAUUAACAAUACAUAAUUAUCUAUUAAAGAGUUUUGUUUGCUUACUGAGUGCUUUUAUUUUUUUUGUUAAUUUAAUAAAUAAAUAUUCAGGUAUAAAAGUCAUUGCGAAUAAAAGGGAUAAUGGUUUGAAAAAUACCUCAACUUUGGUCGAAUUUGUUGUUGCGAUACUAAACUUUCAUGAGGACCUAUUACCUCCCAAGACCAUUUAAUACCGUAUUUUAAACAUGUAUAUUUCCCCACGUGGACAUAAAAAAUAAUGCAAUUUAAAAAUAGUAAUGUGUCCACGUGGGCACAUAUAUACCUUUAAAUACACUAUUAAAUAGUUCAUGGGGUAAAAAAUACGGUAUUAAAUAGUCUAGAAAGGUAAUACGUCCUUAUGAAAGUUUAGUAUCGCAACAUCAAAUCCGACCAAUGUUAAGGUAUUUUUCAGACCUUUAUCCCUGAAUAAAACAUGUAAGCAUUUGUAUGAACUAAUGUCCAAUUAAGAAAUCUUAUCUAUUAUAAACAAACAAACUUAUGUUUUUGAUAUUCGAUGAUAAUGGCUAAACUAAAACAUAAAUACUAAGUCAGAAAUAUAAAUACUAAAAUAAAUAAAUACAGUUAACUAACAUACAAAUGAAUACAUGGUUUAAUAUAUAUACAUACAAAAAUAAUGAAUAUUAAUUAAAUAUAUAAAAAAAAAUACAUGAAUAUUAACCAAUGAGCAAUACAAAUGAAUAUAUUGAUUUAGUAUAUAUACAUACAAAAAUACGUAGAUAUUAACUUAAUAUAUACAAAAAAAAAAAAACAUGAAUACUAUCAAUGGCAAGUGACUCAGUGAGAAAAUAUAAAUACUAGUGGUACCGUGUAGUAGCAUAUUUGCUAUUUAAUAUUUAAAUAAAUCCAUAAUAAAUAAAUAAAAUAUGCUAUAGCUAUGCCUUAAAUAUGCAGCAAAGUUUGUCAUAUCAUGUAGUUUUUCCUUUAAUAGAAUUGAGUUAAUGAUUUAAGUCCUAUAAAUAUGAAUUUGAUUAAAGUUCAAAUUCAUUAAUAGGAAAAUUGUGCGGUUAAGCAAACUUAUACUACUUAAUUAUUCAUCAUAGCUAUAGUUUGUUAUAAUUACCACUCGCGACUAACAUUAUACAUUAAUUACGUGGGCUGAUUUCGAGUUUGUAUAAUUAGCCAUGUUUUGUAUAUGUAUAAUUCACCAAAAUAUACAAAUACAUAUGUAUAAUAUACAAUUAUGUAACCGAUAUACAUAUACAAUUCACCUCUCUCUCUCGCCUCUCGCCUCUCGCCUCUCUCCUCCCUCUCUUAAUCUCGCUUGCCAUAUAUACAAAUGCAUAUGUAUACUAUAUACAAUUAUCUAACCGAUAUACAUAUAUAAUUCACCUCUUUCUCACUCUCUUCCUUCUCUCGCUCGCCUCUUUCCUCCCUCUCCCAAUCUCACUCGCCAUUUAUACAAAUACAUAUGUAUAAUAUACAAUUAUCUAACCGAUAUACAUAUACAAUUCACCUUUCUCCCACUCUUUGCCCCCUCUCUCUCGCCUCUCUCCUCUCUCUCCCAGUCUCGCUCGCCUCUCUCCUCUCUAUAACAUGUAGCUACGAAUUGUAAUUAUCAAACUAUAGCUAUGGAGAGUAAUUAAACUAUUUUUGAGUGGCUAUAUGUGAAAGUUCCUCUUCAUUAAUAUGGGCUACAAUAGAUGAACCCACUUUGCUAACCCCAAUGUCAUUCUAUCCCAGAGGUCCAGUUUAGGGCUACGUAUAUGUAGACAAUAAAAUUCGCGUCGAGAAAACAAUAAUCAAGAACGGAAAAAUAUCGCAACAAUUGUAUUUAUUAUUUUAAAGUGCUAGUGUUAGAAUCUCUAUGAUUCCUCUGAAUUCGUCUUUUCAAAUAUAAAUUCAAGUACUCUUGAGCUUAAUCUUGAAUUUGUCUUGAACUUGAUCUUGGAUUCAAAGUCUUUAAAGCUUAUUCUUGAAUCUUCGAUGAACUUGAACUUGAACUUUAUCUUGAUCUUAACUUUUUACUUGAAUUCAAGGGCUUCGAGCUUGUUCUUGAAUCUGAUGGUCUUGAUCGUUCUUGAACUUGAAUACUUGUAGCUUAUAGAGAAUUUUAUGGCGUUUGUACCACGGGUUUUCUCUAGCUUCUUGUUUAGAAUUUUCGGUCCCUUCUUUGAAUUAUGAGGACCCCUAUUUAUAAUUUUAGAAUAGAGGAGUUGCGAUUUGAAUAGGAACAAAUAUACUUGGCUUCUCACUUCCUCUGAUAACUCCAAUUACUUCUGUGGAUUUAAAAGUUGGAACUUGAUCCUGUUGAUUGAAUGUAGUGCCAUCAGGUGUGUGAAAAGGUACCAAAACUGUAAAUGCAUACAGAAAACUUAAUUUUGGAAAGAAACUAGAUGAUUGUAUGAUGGUUAUGUUAACGCCUACAAAGUUAAGGAGUGUAACAAAAGGUAGUAGAUGGUGUAAAAUUAGUUGCAUAACAGUCUCAAAACCAACACAAUUAAUCAAAUAAAUCCACUCACCUCAAUCCUAAACCAAUCCGAAGAGCAUUUAAAUAAAUAUCAAAAGGAGAGAAACUAAAUUUCAUUGAAUCAUGAAAUAUGCAAUAAGAGAGCUAGAUGGAUUGUAAUAUAAUAUAGUAGUUGAGCUAAUACAUACAUAAGUGAUUGUUAUGAGAGGUAUGCACUACACACACAAAAAAAAAAAGAAAGAUGCACCAGCUUAGAUUAAAGGAAUUAAAUUCUUGUCAGUGAGAAAACAAUUUCUGAGACCUUAUAAAUGGCAAUACUGACUUUUACAGCUGCAGCGAAGAACCAAAAUCUUUUAUCAUAACAACACCCAAAUCUUUUUGGGCUCUCUAUAUUAACUCAAAAUCGUUAUUUAUUACGGCUUGUGCACUAAUAAGCUCGUAAAUCCUUUCUUCUUUCUCAUUUUUCAAAUUUAUCGUGUGUACCAUAGAUUAGAUUUGGAAGAAAACAGAACAGUUAUUAGUUUAAUCAAAAGGAGUAGCAACCAGUAAAUGCACAAUUAUUUAUUUAUUUGAAACAAAGUUCUUAAGUUUAUAGAUCAAAUGUAGUAGCAAUUAAACAGAGAUCAUCCUUUCUUAUUGCAGUUACUCCAUCUGUUUCCGUCAUAUCAAAACUCUCUGGAGGGCCUUCAUAAGGAGUCUUCCAAUCGAAAUGAUAAAGCAACUGAGCUAAAGGAUGUUCUACGUUCAUUAAGCCGAAUAACUACCCUGGACACAUUCUUCUUCCUGCACCAAAGGGAAAUGAUUUCCUCGAAAAUCAAUAUGAUUAUUGUCAAAUCUCUCAGGAAUAAAGCUUUCAGGAUUAUGCCAAUAUUCAGGAUCUCUCCCAAUUGCCCAUGCGUUAAUUAGAACUCUGGUUUUGACAGGUAUUGUGUAUCCUCCGAUUCUUGUUUCUUCUCUACAUUCCCUUGGCAAUAAUAAAGGAAAUGGAAGAUGCAACCUUAACAUUUCCUUAAUCACUAAUUUUAAGUACUUCAACUCUUCAAGAUCAGUAUCCUCAAAUAUUGUCUUUCCCUUAAGGACUUGUCUAACUUCAAAUUGUGCUUUAGCCAUUGUUCUUGGAUCUCUUAUCAUCUCUGCCAAUGCCCAAAUGAUAAUUGCAGAUGAUGUCUCAGCUCCGGCUAUGAACAUGUCCUGCAUGUAACUAAAAAUCUUUGUGCUAAGAAGUUCCAGGAUGCACACUUUGCGCAUGUUUCUCCAGUAAUCACCAUAUGGACAUGUUCCAAUGUCCGAGUGACUAUACAUAAUAAUUUCACCGAACAAUAAUUGAGGCCUAGUAGAAAAAUGAAGGUCUUGAAUUUUCAUUAUUUCUUUUACUGUAUCAGGUGAAGAUACAACAACGUGUGAUACUUCUCCAAGACGUAAAUGAAAAAUGGGGCCAUAUUUUCGCGAUAAAUCUCUGAAAGUAUAAUGUGGAAGGCGGCCAUUCAUUAACUGGUGCAAGUUUCCAAUAAAAGGUAACUUCCAUGGCCCUGGAGGCAAUUUUUUGUUGAAGAUUUUUGAUUGCUUCCUUAAAAGAAGGAUGAAAGAAAGGAAUAACAC
This 12141-nucleotide long non-coding RNA is filed under the name Solanum tuberosum (potato). Its description in RNAcentral is "long non-coding RNA (STUB_LNC004202)". The record is from RNAcentral. Lineage: Eukaryota; Viridiplantae; Streptophyta; Magnoliopsida; Solanales; Solanaceae.